CUGAGCUGGCUGUGAGUCUUCCCUGUCCGUCGGGUAGCUCACGGUGAAAUUAAAGACGGAAUAAGCAUGUAGAGCUCGUAGCGUAGGUCUUGCGGACGUGGGUUCGAUUCCCACCACCUCCACCA
This 125-nucleotide transfer-messenger RNA is filed under the name Gammaproteobacteria bacterium. RNAcentral's name for it is "partial transfer-messenger RNA". It matches the Rfam family "transfer-messenger RNA", at positions 236 to 374 of the family's 374-position model. Rfam says of the family: Bacterial tmRNA, also known as 10Sa RNA or SsrA, is named for its dual tRNA and mRNA-like properties. Its role is to liberate the mRNA from a stalled ribosome. Lineage: Bacteria; Pseudomonadati; Pseudomonadota; Gammaproteobacteria. The record is from RNAcentral.